GACGUAGGGGACGAGCGUUGUCCGGAUUCAUUGGGCGUAAAGAGCGUGUAGGCGGCCAGGUAGGUCGGUUGUGAAAACUGGAGGCUCAACCUUCAGAGGUCGAUCGAAACCAUCUGGCUAGAGUCCGGGAGAGGAGAGUGGAAUUCCUGGUGUAGCGGUGAAAUGCGCAGAUAUCAGGAGGAACACCCAUUGCGAAGGCAGCUCGCUGGGACGUUACUGACGCUGAGACGCGAAAGCGUGGGGAGCAAACAGG
RNAcentral lists this ribosomal RNA (253 nucleotides) under uncultured bacterium. RNAcentral describes it as "partial 16S ribosomal RNA". It matches the Rfam family "Bacterial small subunit ribosomal RNA", at positions 524 to 776 of the family's 1533-position model. The record is from RNAcentral.